Molecule: ribosomal RNA, 430 nt
Filed under: bacterium
Lineage: Bacteria
Description: partial 16S ribosomal RNA
Rfam family: Bacterial small subunit ribosomal RNA
Source: RNAcentral
UGGGGAAUAUUGGACAAUGGGCGAUAGCCUGAUCCAGCCAUGCCGCGUGUGUGAAGAAGGCCUUUUGGUUGUAAAGCACUUUAAGCGAGGAGGAGGCUACUUAGAUUAAUACUCUAGGAUAGUGGACGUUACUCGCAGAAUAAGCACCGGCUAACUCUGUGCCAGCAGCCGCGGUAAUACAGAGGGUGCGAGCGUUAAUCGGAUUUACUGGGCGUAAAGCGUGCGUAGGCGGCUUUUUAAGUCGGAUGUGAAAUCCCUGAGCUUAACUUAGGAAUUGCAUUCGAUACUGGGAAGCUAGAGUAUGGGAGAGGAUGGUAGAAUUCCAGGUGUAGCGGUGAAAUGCGUAGAGAUCUGGAGGAAUACCGAUGGCGAAGGCAGCCAUCUGGCCUAAUACUGACGCUGAGGUACGAAAGCAUGGGGAGCAAACAGG